This 81-nucleotide transfer RNA is filed under the name Hofstenia miamia. RNAcentral describes it as "tRNA-Ser for anticodon UGA". It matches the Rfam family "tRNA". Rfam says of the family: Transfer RNA (tRNA) molecules are approximately 80 nucleotides in length. Lineage: Eukaryota; Metazoa; Xenacoelomorpha; Acoela; Hofsteniidae. The record is from RNAcentral.
GCAGUCAUGGCCGAGUGGUUAAGGCGUUAGACUUGAAAUCUAAUCCCUCUGGGGUCGCAGGUUCGAAUGCUGCUGACUGCG